CCUACGGGAGGCAGCAGUGGGGAAUAUUGGACAAUGGGCGAAAGCCUGAUCCAGCAAUGCCGCGUGGGUGAAGAAGGCUUGAGGGUUGUAAAGCCCUUUCAGCAGGGAGGAAAAGCAUUCGGUUAAUACCCGGGUGUCUUGACGUUACCUGCAGAAGAAGCACCGGCUAACUCCGUGCCAGCAGCCGCG
RNAcentral lists this ribosomal RNA (189 nucleotides) under uncultured bacterium. RNAcentral's name for it is "partial 16S ribosomal RNA". It matches the Rfam family "Bacterial small subunit ribosomal RNA", at positions 338 to 519 of the family's 1533-position model. The record is from RNAcentral.